This 151-nucleotide unclassified non-coding RNA is filed under the name uncultured Chaetosphaeriaceae. RNAcentral's name for it is "sequence contains ITS1". Lineage: Eukaryota; Fungi; Ascomycota; Sordariomycetes; Chaetosphaeriales; Chaetosphaeriaceae. The record is from RNAcentral.
CAGGACUCGCAAGACUCCUAUAACCCUGUGAACCUACUGUAAAUACGUUGCUUCGGCGGGUACGUCCCUGGGAUUCGUCCUGAGACAGCCCGCCGGCAGCCUACAAAUUCUGUUUCUUUGCGUUGGCAUCUCGAGUAAAUCAAAUAAGUUA